CCAGACUCCUACGGGAGGCAGCAGUGGGGGAUAUUGCACAAUGGGGGGAACCCUGAUGCAGCGACGCCGCGUGGGUGAAGGAGUAUUUCGGUAUGUAAAGCCCUAUCGGCAGGGAAGAAGCAAGACGGUACCUGACUAAGAAGCCCCGGCUAACUACGUGCCAGCAGCCGCGGUAAUACGUAGGGGGCAAGCGUUAUCCGGAUUUACUGGGUGUAAAGGGGGCGCAGACGGCAGCGCAAGCCAGGAGUGAAAGCCCGGGGCCCAACCCCGGGACUGCUCUUGGAACUGCGCGGCUGGAGUGCAGGAGGGGCAGGCGGAAUUCCUGGUGUAGCGGUGAAAUGCGUAGAUAUCAGGAGGAACACCGGCGGCGAGGGCGGCCUGCUGGACCGCGACUGACGUUGAGGCUCGAAAGCGUGGGGAGCGAACAGGAUUAGAUACCCUAGUA
Molecule: ribosomal RNA, 445 nt
Filed under: uncultured bacterium
Lineage: Bacteria
Description: partial 16S ribosomal RNA
Rfam family: Bacterial small subunit ribosomal RNA
Source: RNAcentral